Molecule: transfer RNA, 82 nt
Filed under: Parascedosporium putredinis
Lineage: Eukaryota; Fungi; Ascomycota; Sordariomycetes; Microascales; Microascaceae
Rfam family: tRNA
About the family: Transfer RNA (tRNA) molecules are approximately 80 nucleotides in length. Their secondary structure includes four short double-helical elements and three loops (D, anti-codon, and T loops). Further hydrogen bonds mediate the characteristic L-shaped molecular structure. tRNAs have two regions of fundamental functional importance: the anti-codon, which is responsible for specific mRNA codon recognition, and the 3' end, to which the tRNAs corresponding amino acid is attached (by aminoacyl-tRNA synthetases). tRNAs cope with the degeneracy of the genetic code in two manners: having more than one tRNA (with a specific anti-codon) for a particular amino acid; and 'wobble' base-pairing, i.e. permitting non-standard base-pairing at the 3rd anti-codon position.
Source: Rfam by way of RNAcentral
UCCCAUAUGGUGUAGUGGUUAGCAUAACGCUCUCUCAUCCGAGAGUGCAGCGUAGACCCUGGUUCGAUUCCUGGUAUGGGAG